Molecule: ribosomal RNA, 373 nt
Filed under: uncultured organism
Description: partial 16S ribosomal RNA
Rfam family: Bacterial small subunit ribosomal RNA
Source: RNAcentral
GUAGGUGGCAAGCGUUGUCCGGAAUUAUUGGGCGUAAAGCGCGCGCAGGCGGUUCUUUAAGUCUGAUGUGAAAGCCCACGGGCUCAACCGUGGAGGGUCAUUGGAAACUGGAGAACUUGAGUACAGAAGAGGAAAGCGGAAUUCCACGUGUAGCGGUGAAAUGCGUAGAGAUGUGGAGGAACACCAGUGGCGAAGGCGGCUUUCUGGUCUGUAACUGACGCUGAGGCGCGAAAGCGUGGGGAGCAAACAGGAUUAGAUACCCUGGUAGUCCACGCCGUAAACGAUGAGUGCUAAGUGUUACGGGGGUUUCCGCCCCUUAGUGCUGCAGCUAACGCAUUAAGCACUCCGCCUGGGGAGUACGGCCGCAAGGCUG